ACAGCCGCCGCGGUAAGACAGAGGGUGCAAACGUUGCUCGGAAUCACUGGGCGUAAAGGGCGUGUAGGCGGGAAGGAAAGUCAGAUGUGAAAUCCCUGGGCUCAACCCAGGAACUGCAUUUGAAACUCCCUUUCUUGAGUGUCGGAGAGGAAAGUGGAAUUCCUGGUGUAGAGGUGAAAUUCGUAGAUAUCAGGAGGAACACCGGUGGCGAAGGCGGCUUUCUGGACGACAACUGACGCUGAGACGCGAAAGCGUGGGGAGCAAACAGGAUUAGAUACCCUGGUAGUCCACGCUGUAAACGAUGAACACUAGGUGUCGUGGGUAUUGACCCCCGCGGUGCCGCAGCUAACGCAUUAAGUGUUCCGCCUGGGAAGUACGGUCGCAAGACUAAAACUUAAAGGAAUUGGCGGGGG
This 413-nucleotide ribosomal RNA is filed under the name uncultured bacterium. RNAcentral's name for it is "bacterial SSU rRNA". It matches the Rfam family "Bacterial small subunit ribosomal RNA", at positions 508 to 919 of the family's 1533-position model. The record is from RNAcentral.